RNAcentral lists this ribosomal RNA (458 nucleotides) under uncultured Gammaproteobacteria bacterium. RNAcentral's name for it is "bacterial SSU rRNA". It matches the Rfam family "Bacterial small subunit ribosomal RNA", at positions 1067 to 1532 of the family's 1533-position model. Lineage: Bacteria; Pseudomonadati; Pseudomonadota; Gammaproteobacteria. The record is from RNAcentral.
GUGAGAGUGGGUAGUCCGUACGAGCGCACCCUAUCCUUAUUUGCCAGCACAUCAUGGUGGGAACUAUAAGGAGACUGCCGGUGAUAAACCGGAGGAAGGCGGGGACGACGUCAAGUCAUCAUGGCCCUUACGACCAGGGCUACACACGUGCUACAAUGGGAAGGACAAAGAGCCGCGAAGCCGCGAGGUGUAGCUAAUCUCAGAAACCUUUUCGUAGUCCGGAUUGGAGUCUGCAACUCGACUCCAUGAAGUCGGAAUCGCUAGUAAUCGUAGAUCAGAAUGCUACGGUGAAUACGUUCCCGGGUCUUGUACACACCGCCCGUCAUACCAUGGGAGUGGGUUGCACCAGAAGUGGCUAGUCUAACUUUAUUGAGGACGGUCACCACGGUGUGAUUCAUGACUGGGGUAAAGUCGUAACAAGGUAGCCCUACCGGAAGGUGGGGCUGGAUCACCUCCUU